RNAcentral lists this ribosomal RNA (273 nucleotides) under Citrobacter koseri. RNAcentral describes it as "partial 16S ribosomal RNA". It matches the Rfam family "Bacterial small subunit ribosomal RNA", at positions 107 to 383 of the family's 1533-position model. The record is from RNAcentral. Lineage: Bacteria; Pseudomonadati; Pseudomonadota; Gammaproteobacteria; Enterobacterales; Enterobacteriaceae.
UGAGUAAUGUCUGGGAAACUGCCUGAUGGAGGGGGAUAACUACUGGAAACGGUAGCUAAUACCGCAUAACGUCGCAAGACCAAAGAGGGGGACCUUCGGGCCUCUUGCCAUCAGAUGUGCCCAGAUGGGAUUAGCUAGUUGGUGGGGUAACGGCUCACCAAGGCGACGAUCCCUAGCUGGUCUGAGAGGAUGACCAGCCACACUGGAACUGAGACACGGUCCAGACUCCUACGGGAGGCAGCAGUGGGGAAUAUUGCACAAUGGGCGCAAGCC